Molecule: ribosomal RNA, 427 nt
Filed under: uncultured prokaryote
Description: bacterial SSU rRNA
Rfam family: Bacterial small subunit ribosomal RNA
Source: RNAcentral
UGAGGAAUAUUGCGCAAUGGGGGAAACCCUGAUGCAGCCAUGCCGCGUGUGUGAAGAAGGCCUUCGGGUUGUAAAGCACUUUCAGCGAGGAGGAAAGGGGUGAUGCUAAUACCAUCAUCCUGUGACGUUACUCGCAGAAGAAGCACCGGCUAACUCCGUGCCAGCAGCCGCGGUAAUACGUAGGGUGCGAGCGUUAAUCGGAAUUACUGGGCGUAAAGCGUGCGCAGGCGGUUUUGUAAGUCAGAUGUGAAAUCCCCGAGCUCAACUUGGGAACUGCGUUUGAAACUACAAGACUAGAAUAUGUCAGAGGGGGGUAGAAUUCCACGUGUAGCAGUGAAAUGCGUAGAGAUGUGGAGGAAUACCAAUGGCGAAGGCAGCCCCCUGGGAUAAUAUUGACGCUCAUGCACGAAAGCGUGGGGAGCAAACA